UUUGUGUAGAAGAACUAUCCACGUAAAUGGAUGUAAAGAAGCACCAUCUAACAUGGUAGAUGUACAGGUCACCAUUCUGCAGUCUUGUCUCUUGAACAUCACCUGUGGUGAAAUUGUCAUUCUUCCAGACAGGAUCAACUAAUUCUCUGACCAUACCCUGGAAAUCUCGGCAAUGCUAAUCGCUGUAGGUUAGUUGAGAUGUUCCACGGGAGUUACAGUUCAAAUCCCGGAUUGUUUAAGAGUUUGAAGUUGAAUUUGAUAACGUCUAGGUGCAGCCUGGAUCUCAUCACGCCUCGUAGCAUUGAACGAAAUGUUACGUUAGCAUCAUUCACCUAGGAUCGUGCUUCACAGUGAUUUUGCAAAGUCCCAAUCGAGGACGUUAUUUAUUUGGUGCCAACUCGAUGCUGAAUCCGAUUGUUAUCGUUUUCCCUUUACUUUGGUGAUCGAUCGAGAUUGUAGUGUUUCUCACUCGACCAAGCAACAGUCUGCCUUCUUUUUAUCAAGCGAAGGGAAUCUCAUAGGGUUCCUGGAAUAAUGUGGUAAAGUGCUCGCUGGCGAAAGUUGUGGCGUACUCGCACUGAUGGCCGCCGGUGACGGAGUGUAGGGUAUCCUCAUGGCGGGGCUUCGCAAGGUGAUUAUUUCGAAUAUUCUUCUCAGUACUGAAAGGGUAACUUUAUCAGUUGGACUUAUUGGUCCUGGUCUGAUUGGGGAAAAUUUUCGAGACUAAUUUCAUUGACCAGUAUAAACAAAUAAAAGAGCUUCAACGGAAGUCACACAUACGUUAUUUCUACGAAGGCACUGUUGGGGCUGGGCUGCCCAUAAUCAGCACAUCUCAGUCUUGUUGAAACUGUUGACAAGAUUGUGAAAGUGGGAGAUGAUAUCAGGUUAGAAUCAGGGGUGCAUUUCUCAAUCAUGCUUUCAAAUUAAAAUGAAUUCAUUACAACUUUUAAAGUGUAAUUUAAGUGAGGAUGCUGAGGGUGUAAACUAAACGCUAAGGAAGUUCAGAUGUCUUUUUAUUUGUUCUCGACAUGUUGUUUUAGGAAACUAGGGGUCUGAUUGCGGAUCCUGUUGAUGCUGGGGCACACUCAGUCACAUCAACAGUUUCAACAAAGCUUUGACAAAGCUUUUGGCUAGAUUGUGGGUAAGGUUAAGAAGCUGGAAACACUGAGAUUGACCCUACAGAUGACCUUUCUGGAAUGGAAGUUGCGCGAAAGGUCUGCUUUUCUUUCGUUAGCACUAGUGUAUUAACGUUGCAGAUUUUGCAUUCAAGAUGCCCACAUUAGUGCAUCACUGGGAAAGGCAUACAGUAAAUUUUUUUGGAAAGGCUGGAUAAUUUGCUAUUGAUGUUAAUUCUUCUCCUACAGAAUCCUUUUACGUUAAGCUUGCACUUGAUCAUGCUCAGGUGACUAUAUAACAAUAUAACAAUAUAUAUAUAUAUAUAUAUAUAUAUAUAUAUUGUUGGUUUCAGGUAUUGAGCUCCCCUGAUAUUUCUAGCUCCAGUAAGAUAGUUCUAGUGUAUACAUCAGCACGAGAUGACACAACGAAGUAUGUGUAUGUGUAUCUUGUUUGUUUAAACAAAUAUAUUUUUAAACACGCUUUUUGUUUUAA
Physcomitrium patens is the source of this 1608-nucleotide long non-coding RNA. RefSeq lists it as uncharacterized. The record is from RefSeq and is a predicted model, not a curated record. NCBI's taxonomy places the organism in Eukaryota, Viridiplantae, Streptophyta, Bryopsida, Funariales, Funariaceae.